AUCGCUUUUAGAUGGACCCGCGGCGUAUUAACUAGUUGGUGGGGUAACGGCCUACCAAGGUGAUGAUACGUAGCCGAACUGAGAGGUUGAUCGGCCACAUUGGGACUGAGACACGGCCCAAACUCCUACGGGAGGCAGCAGUAGGGAAUCUUCCACAAUGGACGCAAGUCUGAUGGAGCAACGCCGCGUGAGUGAAGAAGGUCUUCGGAUCGUAAAACUCUGUUGUUAGUAGAAGAACACGAGUGAGAGUAACUGUUCAUUCGAUGACGGUAUCUAACCAGCAAGUCACGGCUAACUACGUGCC
This 304-nucleotide ribosomal RNA is filed under the name uncultured bacterium. RNAcentral describes it as "bacterial SSU rRNA". It matches the Rfam family "Bacterial small subunit ribosomal RNA", at positions 214 to 509 of the family's 1533-position model. The record is from RNAcentral.